CCUACGGGGGGCUGCAGUGGGGAAUAUUGGGCAAUGGGCGCAAGCCUGACCCAGCAACGCCGCGUGAAGGAAGAAGGCUUUCGGGUUGUAAACUUCUUUGACAGGGGACGAAACAAAUGACGGUACCCUGAAAACAAGCCACGGCUAACUACGUGCCAGCAGCCGCGGUAAUACGUAGGUGGCAAGCGUUAUCCGGAUUUACUGGGUGUAAAGGGCGUGUAGGCGGGAUUACAAGUCAGAUGUGAAAACUAUGGGCUCAACCCAUAGCCUGCAUUUGAAACUGUAGUUCUUGAGUGAUGGAGAGGCAGACGGAAUUCCUCGUGUAGCGGUGAAAUGCGUAGAUAUGAGGAGGAACACCAGUGGCGAAGGCGGUCUGCUGGACAUUAACUGACGCUGAGGCGCGAAAGCGUGGGGAGCAAACAGGAUUAGAUACCCCGGUAGUC
Molecule: ribosomal RNA, 443 nt
Filed under: uncultured Oscillospiraceae bacterium
Lineage: Bacteria; Bacillati; Bacillota; Clostridia; Eubacteriales; Oscillospiraceae
Also listed under: 1 other name
Description: bacterial SSU rRNA
Rfam family: Bacterial small subunit ribosomal RNA
Source: RNAcentral